UACGAAGGGUGCAAGCGUUACUCGGAAUUACUGGGCGUAAAGCGUGCGUAGGUGGUUUGUUAAGUCUGUUGUGAAAGCCCCGGGCUCAACCUGGGAAUGGCAAUGGAUACUGGCAAGCUAGAGUGCGGUAGAGGGUAGUGGAAUUCCCGGUGUAGCGGUGAAAUGCGUAGAGAUCGGGAGGAACACCAGUGGCGAAGGCGGCUACCUGGACCAGCACUGA
RNAcentral lists this ribosomal RNA (220 nucleotides) under uncultured bacterium. RNAcentral describes it as "partial 16S ribosomal RNA". It matches the Rfam family "Bacterial small subunit ribosomal RNA", at positions 524 to 743 of the family's 1533-position model. The record is from RNAcentral.